RNAcentral lists this ribosomal RNA (656 nucleotides) under uncultured bacterium. Its description in RNAcentral is "bacterial SSU rRNA". It matches the Rfam family "Bacterial small subunit ribosomal RNA", at positions 10 to 703 of the family's 1533-position model. The record is from RNAcentral.
AGUUUGAUCAUGGCUCAGAAUGAAACCUGGCGGUGUGCCUAACACAUGCAAGUCAAACGACAAUUUAUUUGGAGUGGCGGACGGGUGAGUAACACGUAAGAACCUACCUUUAGGAGGGGGAUACCAUCCCGGGAAACUGGUGCUAAUACCCCAUAUGCUGAGAAGUGAAAUGGUAUUUAACCGCCUAGAGAGGGGCUUGCGGCUGAUUAGCUAGUUGGUGGGGUAAUGGCCUCCCAAGGCGACGAUCAGUAGCUGGUUUGAGAGGAUGAUCAGCCACACUGGGACUGAGACACGGCCCAGACUCCUACGGGAGGCAGCAGUGAGGAAUUUUCCGCAAUGGGCGAAAGCCUGACGGAGCAAUACCGCGUGGAGGAAAAAGAAGACCUGUGGGUUGUAAACUCCUUUUCUCAGAGAAGAAUACUGACGGUAUCUGAGGAAUAAGCACCGGCUAACUAUGUGCCAGCAGCCGCGGUAAUACAUGGGGUGCGAGGUUUAUUCGGAAUGAUUGGGCGUAAAGCGUUCGUAGGUGGUUUCACGAAGUCCACUGUCAAAGAUCAGGGCUUAACCUUGGGCAGGCAGUGGAAACUCGGAAACUCGAGUCAGGUGGGGGCUGAAGGAAUCAACAGCGUAACAGUGAAAUGUGUAGAUAUUGUUGA